UACGUAGGGUGCGAGCGUUGUCCGGAAUUAUUGGGCGUAAAGAGCUCGUAGGCGGCCUGUCGCGUCUGCUGUGAAAGCCCGGGGCUCAACUCCGGGUCUGCAGUGGAUACGGGCAGGCUAGAGUCCGGCAGGGGAGACUGGAAUUCCCGGUGUAGCGGUGGAAUGCGCAGAUAUCGGGAAGAACACCCGUGGCGAAGGCGGCUCUCUGGAACGAUACUGACGCUGAGACGCGAAAGCGUGGGGAGCAAACAGG
RNAcentral lists this ribosomal RNA (253 nucleotides) under uncultured bacterium. RNAcentral's name for it is "partial 16S ribosomal RNA". It matches the Rfam family "Bacterial small subunit ribosomal RNA", at positions 524 to 776 of the family's 1533-position model. The record is from RNAcentral.